Molecule: ribosomal RNA, 439 nt
Filed under: uncultured bacterium
Lineage: Bacteria
Description: partial 16S ribosomal RNA
Rfam family: Bacterial small subunit ribosomal RNA
Source: RNAcentral
CUACGGGAGGCUGCAGUGAGGAAUAUUGAACAAUGGGGGGAACCCUGAUGCAGCAACGCCGCGUGGAGGAUGACGCAUUUCGGUGUGUAAACUCCUUUUAUAUGUCAAGAAAAUGACGGUAGCAUAUGAAUAAGCACCGGCUAACUCCGUGCCAGCAGCCGCGGUAAUACGGAGGGUGCAAGCGUCACUCGGAAUCACUGGGCGUAAAGGACGCGUAGGCGGGUUGGAAAGUCAGGUGUGAAAUCCUACAGCUUAACUGUAGAACUGCACUUGAAACUUCUAAUCUAGAGUAUGGGAGGGGGAGAUGGAAUUAGUGGUGUAGGGGUAAAAUCCGUAGAUAUCACUAGGAAUACCUAAAGCGAAGGCGAUCUCCUGGAACAUUACUGACGCUAAGGCGUGAAAGCGUGGGGAGCAAACAGGAUUAGAUACCCUCGUAGUC